RNAcentral lists this ribosomal RNA (253 nucleotides) under uncultured bacterium. RNAcentral describes it as "partial 16S ribosomal RNA". It matches the Rfam family "Bacterial small subunit ribosomal RNA", at positions 524 to 776 of the family's 1533-position model. The record is from RNAcentral.
UACGGAGGGAGCUAGCGUUGUUCGGAAUUACUGGGCGUAAAGCGCACGUAGGCGGCUUUGUAAGUUAGAGGUGAAAGCCCGGAGCUCAACUCCGGAGUUGCCUUUAAGACUGCAUCGCUUGAAUCCGGGAGAGGUGAGUGGAAUUCCGAGUGUAGAGGUGAAAUUCGUAGAUAUUCGGAAGAACACCAGUGGCGAAGGCGGCUCACUGGACCGGUAUUGACGCUGAGGUGCGAAAGCGUGGGGAGCAAACAGG